GACAGAGGGGGCAAGCGUUGCUCGGAAUUACUGGGCGUAAAGGGCGCGUAGGCGGGAUGGCAAGUCGGUCGUGAAAUCCCUCGGCUCAACCGAGGAACGUCGAUCGAUACUGCUGUUCUUGAGGAUUGCAGAGGAGACUGGAAUUCCCGGUGUAGCGGUGGAAUGCGUAGAUAUCGGGAAGAACACCGGUGGCGAAGGCGGCUCGCUGGGCCAAUGCUGACGCUGAGGCGCGAAAGCGUGGGGAGCAAACAGG
RNAcentral lists this ribosomal RNA (253 nucleotides) under uncultured bacterium. Its description in RNAcentral is "partial 16S ribosomal RNA". It matches the Rfam family "Bacterial small subunit ribosomal RNA", at positions 524 to 776 of the family's 1533-position model. The record is from RNAcentral.